RNAcentral lists this ribosomal RNA (447 nucleotides) under uncultured bacterium. Its description in RNAcentral is "bacterial SSU rRNA". It matches the Rfam family "Bacterial small subunit ribosomal RNA", at positions 355 to 825 of the family's 1533-position model. The record is from RNAcentral.
UCGGGAAUUUUGGGCAAUGGGCGAAAGCCUGACCCAGCAACGCCGCGUGAAGGAUGAAGUAUUUCGGUAUGUAAACUUCGAAAGAAUAGGAAGAAUAAAUGACGGUACUAUUUAUAAGGUCCGGCUAACUACGUGCCAGCAGCCGCGGUAAUACGUAGGGACCAAGCGUUGUUCGGAUUUACUGGGCGUAAAGGGCGCGUAGGCGGCAAUUCAAGUCAUCUGUGAAAUCUCUGGGCUUAACCCAGAACGGCCAAGUGAUACUGUCGCGCUAGAGUGCAGAAGGGGCAAUCGGAAUUCUUGGUGUAGCGGUGAAAUGCGUAGAUAUCAAGAGGAACACCUGAGGUGAAGACGGGUUGCUGGGCUGACACUGACGCUGAGGCGCGAAAGCCAGGGGAGCAAACGGGAUUAGAUACCCACGUAGUCCCUGAGCGGGCUGGCAAGGCGCAU